UUGUCGUCAGCUCGUGUCGUGAGAUGUUGGGUUAAGUCCCGCAACGAGCGCAACCCUUGUUCUUAGUUGCCAGCAUUUAGUUGGGCACUCUAAGGAGACUGCCGGUGACAAACCGGAGGAAGGUGGGGAUGACGUCAAAUCAUCAUGCCCCUUAUGACCUGGGCUACACACGUGCUACAAUGGAUGGUACAAAGGGCUGCAAGACCGCGAGGUUUAGCCAAUCCCAUAAAACCAUUCUCAGUUCGGAUUGUAGGCUGCAACUCGCCUACAUGAAGCCGGAAUCGCUAGUAAUCGCGGAUCAGCAUGCCGCGGUGAAUACGUUCCCGGGCCUUGUACACACCGCCCGUCACACCACGAGAGUUUGUAACACCCGAAGUCGGUGGGGUAACCGUAAGGAGCCAGCCGCCUAAGGUGGGACAGAUGAUUGGGGUGAAGUCGUAACAAGGUAGCCGUAUCGGAAGGUGCGGCUGGAUCACCUCCUUUCUAAGGA
Molecule: ribosomal RNA, 490 nt
Filed under: Bacillus sp. EB106-08-02-XG196
Lineage: Bacteria; Bacillati; Bacillota; Bacilli; Caryophanales; Bacillaceae
Description: bacterial SSU rRNA
Rfam family: Bacterial small subunit ribosomal RNA
Source: RNAcentral